AGAGUUCGAUCCUGGCUCAGGAUAAACGCUGGCAGCAUGCUUAACACAUGCAAGUUGGACGGGAAGUCGUGUUUCUAGUGGCGGACAGUUGAGUAACGCGUAAGAACCUGCCCUUGGGAGGGGAGUAACAGCUGGAAACGACUACUAAUACCCCGUAGGCUGAGGAGCAAAAGGAGGAAUCCGCCUGAGGAGGGGCUCGCGUUUGAUUAGCUAGUUGGUGAGGAAAUGGCUUACCAAGGCGAUGAUCAGUAGCUGGUCCGAGAGGAUGAUCAACCACACUGGGACUGAGACACGGCCCAGACUCCUCCGCAAUGGACGAAAGCCUGAUGGAGCAAUGCCGCGUGGAGGUAGAAGGCCCACAGGUCGUGAACUUUUUUUCUCGGAGAAGAAGCAAUGACGGUAUCUGGGGAAUAAGCAUCGAUAAUACAGAGGAUGCAAGCGUUAUCUGGAAUGAUUGGGUGUAAAGCGUUUGUAGGUGGCUUUUUAAGUCCGCCGUUAAAUCCCAGGGCUCAACGCUGGACAGGCGGUGGAAACUACCAAGCUAGAGUAUGGUAGGGGUACAGGGAAUUUCUGGUGGAGCGGUGAAAUGUGUAGAGAUUGGAAAGAACACCAACGGCAAAACCACUCUGUUGGGCCGACACUGACACUGAGAAAUGAAAGCUAGGAGAACAAAUGGAAUUAGAUACCCCAAUAGUCCUAGCUGUAAAUGAUGGAUACUAGGCUCUGUGCGUAUCGACCCAUGCAGUGUUGUAGCUAACGUGUUAAGUAUCCCGCCUGAGGAGUACGUUCGCAAGAAUGAAACUCAAAGGAAUUGACGGGGCCCAGCACAAGCGGUGGAGCAUGUGGUUUAAUUCGAUACAAAGCGAAGAACCUUACCAGGGCUUGGUAUGCCGCGAACCCUCUUGAAAGAAAGGGGUGCCUUCAGGAACGUAGAUACAGGUGGUGCAUGGGUGUCAUCAACUCGCGCCGUAAGGUGUUGGGUUAAGUCCCACAAUGAGGGCAACCCUCGUGCUUAGUUGCCAUCUUGAGUUUGGAACCCUGAACAGACUGCAGAUGAUAAAUCGAUAGAAGGUGAGGAUGACGUCAAGUCAUCAUGCCCCUUAUGCCUUGGGCGACACACGUGCUACAAUGGCUGGGACAAAGGGUCGCAAUCCCGCAAGAGUGAGCUAACCCCAAAAACUCGUCCUCAGUUCGGAUUGCAGGCUGCAACUCGCCAGCAUGAAUCCGAAAUCGCUAGUAAUCGCUGGUCAGCUAUACGGCAGUGAAUCCGUUCCCGAGCCUUGUACACACCGCCCGCACACUAUGGGAGCUGGCCAUGCCUGAAGUCGUUGCCUUAACUACAAGGAGGGGGAUGCCGAAGGCAGGGCUAGUGAUUGGAGUAAAGUCGUAACAAAGUAGCCGUACUGGAAGGUGCUGCUA
Molecule: ribosomal RNA, 1419 nt
Filed under: Catharanthus roseus (Madagascar periwinkle)
Lineage: Eukaryota; Viridiplantae; Streptophyta; Magnoliopsida; Gentianales; Apocynaceae
Description: bacterial SSU rRNA
Rfam family: Bacterial small subunit ribosomal RNA
Source: RNAcentral